CACGAAGUUAGCCGGGGCUUCUUCUUCAGGUACCGUCAUUAUCUUCCCUGACGAAAGAGCUUUACAACCCUAAGGCCUUCAUCACUCACGCGGCAUGGCUGGAUCAGGCUUGCGCCCAUUGUCCAAUAUUCCCCACUGCUGCCUCCCGUAGGAGUCUGGGCCGCGUCUCAGUCCCAGUGUGGCUGAUCAUCCUCUCAGACCAGCUACUGAUCGUCGCCUUGGUGAGCCGUUACCUCACCAACUAGCUAAUCAGACGCGGGUUCAUCCAAUGGCGAUAAAUCUUUCCCCCGAAGGGCGUAUACGGUAUUAGCUCAAGUUUCCCUGAGUUGUUCCGUACCAUUGGGCAGAUCCCCACGCGUUACUCACCCGUCUGCCGCUGACCCCGAAGGGCCCGCUCGACUUGCAUGUGUUAAGCCUGCCGCCAGUGUUCGUUCUGAGCCAGGAUCAAACUC
This 452-nucleotide ribosomal RNA is filed under the name uncultured Hyphomicrobiales bacterium. RNAcentral's name for it is "uncultured Rhizobiales bacterium partial 16S ribosomal RNA". The record is from RNAcentral. Lineage: Bacteria; Pseudomonadati; Pseudomonadota; Alphaproteobacteria; Hyphomicrobiales.